This 849-nucleotide long non-coding RNA is filed under the name Monodelphis domestica (gray short-tailed opossum). RNAcentral's name for it is "lncRNA (ENSMODG00000034571.2)". Lineage: Eukaryota; Metazoa; Chordata; Mammalia; Didelphimorphia; Didelphidae. The record is from RNAcentral.
CUGAAAACUGUGUUUCUACAUGUCAUAGACUCUGCUACUCUGGAAGGAAAAGAAUGAAAUUCUGCCUCUAGAAGUGAUAAUCUCUAUUUAAUCCUCUGUGGUUUGACAGUUGGAUACAUUUUAGAUGAAGCAAUAGAAAACUGGAUAUAAAAGGAAAAGUUUUUCCUUGCAAGGUAUUAAAACCAUUCUUAAGACUCAAUUGGCUCAAGAAUCUGAAGAUUUAUGCUACUUACAUACUUACAGCACUUCCUAAUUGCCUGAGUACAAACUAGCCACCCAGAUAUCCCCUUACUCUCUGAUGCUGACAAACCAUGGGCAACUAAGAGGCAGGGAGCCUCUCUCAGGACUAACUCUGCCAAGUACAUAAAGGCUCAUCACCAGGAGGUUGGCCAUUUGAGUAAGAAUUCUUUGGCCAUGGAAAACCACCAAAAAACACAUAUACAAAUAAAUAAAUUGUCAUUGGAAGGGAAGAGAACAUUAACCACUGGGAGAUCUGAAAAAUGAGGUUUCCUAAGAUAUGACACCUCAGAGUUCUUUCCACAGUUUGAAAAUCUCUCAUCUAGAAGAAAAAAAAAAGAGUGCCUCAGACAGAGCCUGGAGGGACAUCCAUGUAAAGUGCUUGCUGCUAUAUUUUUCUGAUUCCUGGUACAACUGUCCAGUCUUCUUCCUAGCACCUGCUGCUAAGUAAGUUCUUCCCUGAUUUUUUUUUGGGGGGGGGGCUCAUCUACAGUAUGAUUUAUCUGUUGCCCCCUAAAGUCUGGUACUAAUAGCUGCACUUUCUCUCUACAUUUUUCUAAUGUAGGAAAGGAGUUCCUGUACCUAGUCUGAAUCUUAAAAAAUCAAUCCCCU